RNAcentral lists this ribosomal RNA (465 nucleotides) under uncultured bacterium. Its description in RNAcentral is "partial 16S ribosomal RNA". It matches the Rfam family "Bacterial small subunit ribosomal RNA", at positions 28 to 507 of the family's 1533-position model. The record is from RNAcentral.
GACGAACGCUGGCGGCGUGCUUAACACAUGCAAGUCGAACGGAAAGGCCCCUUUGGGGGUACUCGAGUGGCGAACGGGUGAGUAACACGUGAGUAACCUGCCCUUGACUUCGGGAUAACUUCAGGAAACUGGGGCUAAUACCGGAUAGGAAUCCUUGCUGCAUGGUGGGGGUUGGAAAGCUUCGGCGGUUUUGGAUGGACUCGCGGCUUAUCAGCUUGUUUGUGGGGUAGUGGCUUACCAAGGCUUUGACGGGUAGCCGGCCUGAGAGGGCGACCGGCCACAUUGGGACUGAGAUACGGCCCAGACUCCUACGGGAGGCAGCAGUGGGGAAUAUUGCACAAUGGGCGGAAGCCUGAUGCAGCAACGCCGCGUGCGGGAUGACGGCCUUCGGGUUGUAAACCGCUUUCAGCAGGGGCGAAGCUUGUGGUGACGGUACCUGCAGAAGAAGCACCGGCUAACUACGUG